UACAGAGGGUGCGAGCGUUGUUCGGAAUUAUUGGGCGUAAAGCGCGUGUAGGCGGCUUUGCAAGUCGGGUGUGAAAGCCCUCAGCUUAACUGAGGAAGUGCGCCCGAAACUGCAUUGCUUGAGUACCGGAGAGGAUGGCGGAAUUCCCCAAGUAGAGGUGAAAUUCGUAGAUAUGGGGAGGAACACCGGUGGCGAAGGCGGCCAUCUGGACGGAUACUGACGCUGAGGAGCGAAAGCGUGGGGAGCGAACAGG
RNAcentral lists this ribosomal RNA (253 nucleotides) under uncultured bacterium. RNAcentral's name for it is "partial 16S ribosomal RNA". It matches the Rfam family "Bacterial small subunit ribosomal RNA", at positions 524 to 776 of the family's 1533-position model. The record is from RNAcentral.